Molecule: ribosomal RNA, 391 nt
Filed under: uncultured bacterium
Lineage: Bacteria
Description: bacterial SSU rRNA
Rfam family: Bacterial small subunit ribosomal RNA
Source: RNAcentral
AUUGAACGCUGGCGGCAUGCCUUACACAUGCAAGUCGAACGGCAGCACGGGAGCAAUCCUGGUGGCGAGUGGCGAACGGGUGAGUAAUAUAUCGGAACGUGCCCGGUCGUGGGGAUAACGUAGCGAAAGCUACGCUAAUACCGCAUACGAUCUACGGAUGAAAGCGGGGGGAUCGCAAGACCUCGCGCGAUUGGAGCGGCCGAUAUCAGAUUAGGUAGUUGGUGAGGUAAAGGCUCACCAAGCCGACGAUCUGUAGCUGGUCUGAGAGGACGACCAGCCACACUGGGACUGAGACACGGCCCAGACUCCUACGGGAGGCAGCAGUGGGAAUUUGGACAAUGGGCGCAAGCCUGAUCCAGCAAUGCCGCGUGCAGGAUGAAGGCCUUCGGUU